RNAcentral lists this ribosomal RNA (216 nucleotides) under Triticum aestivum (bread wheat). RNAcentral's name for it is "partial small subunit ribosomal RNA". Lineage: Eukaryota; Viridiplantae; Streptophyta; Magnoliopsida; Poales; Poaceae. The record is from RNAcentral.
AUGACUAUAGCCCUUGGUAGAAUUCCUAAAGAAGAAAAUGAUCUAUUUGAUACUAUGGAUGACUGGUUACGAAGGGACCGUUUCGUUUUUGUAGGAUGGUCUGGCCUAUUGCUCUUUCCUUGUACUUAUUUCGCUUUAGGGGGUUGGUUUACAGGGACAACUUUUGUAACUUCUUGGUAUACCCAUGGAUUGGCUAGUUCCUAUUUAAGGUUGUAA